AAAAAGCCACCCAUUAGAAAAAAAGAAAAUUGAAGGUAAAAAAAAUUAAAAAUUGAAAAAAAAAAGAAUUAGAAUUGUUGAUAAGGUUGGAGGUGGGGAAAAAUGGAUCUGUGGACCGUGCAUGUAAAGAACGCGAGCUUAGGCCCUCCUGUUUGGAUGAGGAUUUGUAAACCCGGUUCCAGUUUUAUGGGUAAAGUUGGAGUUUUUGAGAUCAAUGUCUUGAAACGCAGACUCGUUUCAUCUCAUACUCAGAAUCAUAAGUUGCUUGUUACUUCUAUGGCCAAGAAGAACCACGACAGCAACCCAUCUUCGCCUGGUAAUGAAUAUAUAUGUAUAUAUGUAUAUGUAUGUAUGUGUGUGUGUGUGUGUAUAUAUAUAUAGAGAGAGAGAGAGACACACACACACACAGUGUAUAUAUAUAUAGAGAGAGAGAGAGCCCAGAUUACAAAAUAAUCCAAUAUACAUACAUACAUACAUACAUACAUGUAUGUAUGUAUGUAUGUAUGUAUAUUGGAUUAUUUUGUAAUCUGGGUUUGUUUUAGAUUCUGUGAUGGAGGUUGAAUUUUGGGGUUUUAGGGUUAUUGUGGCUUUAGGUGUUGCUGUUUGGUUUCUGGAAAAAUUGUAGUUAUAUUUUGAAAAAUGUCACUAGGAUCAGUGUUAGAAAGUGAAAUUACGUGUGUAUAGCAAAUGUAUGUUUGAUGAUACAGUGAAAAAAUUAAAAUCAUAACUUAUGGUUUCCUUUUAAGCUCACUAAAGGAAUUUAGGGUAUGUUGGGAUUGAGGUGAUGUGAAAUAAAAUUGGCAAGUAUAAGUGAGCGAGUGCUGGUAGACCUUAGCUGCCAAGUGUGUGUUCAAUGAAGGGUUUUCAUAAUGCAGAAACUGAGUAGUUACAACUACUCACAAUGGGUUAUGACUUGCAUUGCUCAAUCCUCUUUACGUUAAACCAUAUGAGGAAUACAAGAUUAUUUUGGUAGUGUUAUAUAUCAUCUAUACUGGUUUUUAAAGCCAUUAGUAGGUAGUUACUAUUUUGUUCCGUGCUUCACUAGCCUUUGCUGCUUGUACUUCCAUGGACUCAAUAUUAUGUUGAUUAUGGAACCUGCAAAGACAUGUGUGUAGCUACACGGAUAUUGUAUUUCAAUUUAACGUAUGGCUCUGGAGAGAUUGAUUCUUAUAUGCUUUUAAUUUUUUAUCUCCUUGUUCUUCCCUUUUGUUUUUGGAUGUUUUUGCUUAUUUUCCUAUUAUUAUUGUUGUUCUGACAGAAUGAACAAUCAAAGCUAAGCCUUUAUUUUUGCACAAAGCAGCAUUGGUGUUUGUUGUUCUGUAUGUGUUUGGAUAGUUGUGCAAAACAACAAUAUCUUCUGGUUCAAUUGCUCCUUCAGCUAGAGAUGUGACUUGGGUCUUGAACCAACUCAGUACUCUUUUAUUGCUCAUGCAGUUGUCACUGUAUAUAAUAACAGGCUUGAUAUUUUUGGGGGGAGAAACUUAAUUUAGGUGAUGAUAGUUCAAUUUGUUGUGUGUUUGAUGAGAUUCAUUGAAAGAGCUAAAUUCUUUAUCUGUCAAUAGUAGGUCCAUCCUUAGCUCUGUGCUUGUACUAUGAUUUUAUAUUUUUGGACUUCUUCCUAAAUUCAUUCAUCAAGCCUUAACUAGAGUUACAAUCGACAUUAUUUUGUUGCUUAGUAGUUUUCAUUUAUGUCAAACAAUAAGAUUCUCUUGGCAAAAGCUAAACAUUGGCAAAACAUGAUGGAAGUACUUAAGAGUAUGGAAAUCCUGUUCUUUUAACUCUGAAUCUUCAAAUUCUAGUGAAGACAAGGACACUUCUUAACGAAAAAAGAGAGCCCUGUACAAGUAUUAUUGCCAUUUAGUCGGAUUAUAUAAAAUGCAUUUCAUGGAGCUGUGUUUUCAUAAAUCAUUUUCUAGUACAUGCUGCACAAAUAAUCUAUCAGAUCAACUGCUAACUCUGUCCAAUCUUUGCUUUUUUGUUUUUAGGUGUAUUUUUUAGGUUAUGGGCAGAGAAAAACUGAAAAAGAAAAGAAGGGUAUGGAACAGGGGUUAUAGAAAUCCAAACCCGUAGAAUAGAGAAAUUGAAAUGGCUUUGUGAAUCUUACAUUACCCAGAGAACUAAAGAUUCCUUCAUCCUCUAACGUUAAAACUUAUUUCAUUUCUGUCCAAAAAUGACUCUUAGGAUAACAAACACAAACCAUCUUCAUGAAAUUUGAAGUCUCCUAUCUUCCUAUAAAUACAAUGCUGCAAACGAGAUUAGAAUAACCCAUUUCACAUUAGAAACCAAGACAAAGUUAUAACACAAAUUCAAAUUGACAGGUCAGUAAAACAGAGUCGAUGUUAUAACUUUAUAAUUGCCUACAAUACAUUAUGCAGGAGUCAAACACAUAUUUUGUCUCAUUCAAAUAGUAUGAUUUGUGUUAGUUCCCAUGAACAAUGUUGCUGGAUCUUAGCCUUCUAGUUGGAAAAGGUGUCUGAAAAAAUGAGGAAGUUUGUGAUCGUCAAUUGGCCUAGUAAAGGAAGAUUUGUUAGAUAAGCACCCUGGUUUUUCAAGAUUCCAUUUCCUUAUUUAAGCUUGAUAGAUUGUAUGGAACUACUUUGAUAAAAGGCAGAAAGUGUGCCCAUUCUUUAGCUUCUCUAUUAUUUAGAUUUCUUUUAUGUCCUAGAUUCAAUCCCAUAGAGAAAAUAGUAAACCAUACUCAAAGCAGAAUCAUUAUAGGAACCAGGCAGCUUGUAGAUAUGCAGCAACAGAACUCUGAGGGAAAUUCCCUAUUUAUGUAUCUGCCCAAAUCUUACUUUCUUCAUUGCCAUUACCCAAGCUCAUAUUAGAGUAAAUAAUACUAUUCGUCGAGGAGAUAUAAUUCCAUGGACAGUGGCUUGAGUCCCGAAAGAUUAUUGAACCAUCUAUGAAUACCUUUUACUUUAGCAAACAGCUUUCAUUUAAACUCCUCUGUAUGUAUCUUUACAUAUUUACUUAAAAAGAGAAAAUUCAUGAUAUUCUUCUUACUACUUCUCAUAAUAUCUUAUGAUAAUAAAAACUCUUUAUCUAAAUCUUUUAUCAGGUAGUAACUGGUCUCUAGCAAGAAAUUUUUAUAUUUUGACUAGUUUUGGAAAACUUGUGUGAACAGAAAUUAUCUUUGGGAUCUUGAACACUGACUGAAGAUUAGACCAAUGAUAAUUACCUACUGGGUCUUAACUUCCACGUGAUUCUUGUUCCGAUGGAGCUUGUAGUUGGAUAUUGACCGGUCUAAUGGGUGCUUAAACUUUUAACCUACUUAAAUUGUAGUUUAACACAAUUAACAAUUAUGAUUAUGAAUUCAGGAAAUGGUGAUCGAUCUAGUCCAGAAGGAGAUAAUUUGAAACGAAACAAUUCUUCUGACAACAACAAAUCCAAUGACACUGCAUCCCAGAAGUCCCCUCAUAUAAACUUGGACUGGAGAGAGUUCAGAGCUAAUCUGUUUGCCCGGGAACAGGUGAAGUAUUUCGUCUUUAGUGAGUUGGUCGUUUGUUACUCUAUUCCACAAUGGACAGUAUUGAAGUUUUAGGAAGUGCAACAGAUUUGGGAAGCUCACCUUUUUCCUUUUUAAUGUUUUAGUCAGCUUAGUUUACAACUUCUGAUAAUAAACCUUAGUUGGAGUUACAUUGUGUCUUUUGUAUUUGCUCUAGUAGUGUAGCCCUGCCUGUUAUAUUGGUCAAAUUACACUUUUAAUCGAAGUAAAUAGACUUAUUUGGAAAAUUCUUGAAGGAGAAGUUGGGAUACUUCUAUCCUUCUUUUGGAAAAGGAAGUACAAAUAUAAUGAAAAGGGUUUAAUUUUAAAGCCAUUCAAUAUUUUUCUUUUUCACCUACACUAUAUCUAAGAUCAAAGCAAUGCCCCCCACCACCAAACCUUUUUGUAGAAGUAGCUGUUUCAUUGACCAUUAAACCACUACUUCGCCCGAGCCCAAUUUGAUCUGGAUCAUAGCCUCAUUUUUAUUCCUUUCUGCUAUGAUACAGUAAUUACUUCAUGACUUGAUGUGGAGUGUCUUUUUCACUGACAUAAUGAAUGACGUUCAGAGUGAAAUUUACACUUUAAUUAUUUUAUCAGGCAGAGAAGUCAGAAUCUGAUACCCAAAACCAAGGUGGGUCAACUCAUGAGUCCAAACCUCUAGGCCUAAAAUGGGCCCACCCUAUUCCAGUUCCUGAGACGGGCUGUGUCCUUGUUGCCACAGCAAAGCUUGAUGGGAUUCGUACCUUUGAGAGAACUGUUGUUCUGCUCCUCAGAUCUGGUACCAGACAUCCACAGGAAGGGCCAUUUGGAGUUGUCAUUAACCGUCC
RNAcentral lists this long non-coding RNA (4314 nucleotides) under Citrus sinensis (sweet orange). RNAcentral's name for it is "long non-coding RNA (CSIN_LNC002140)". Lineage: Eukaryota; Viridiplantae; Streptophyta; Magnoliopsida; Sapindales; Rutaceae. The record is from RNAcentral.